This 107-nucleotide small nuclear RNA is filed under the name Suricata suricatta (meerkat). Lineage: Eukaryota; Metazoa; Chordata; Mammalia; Carnivora; Herpestidae. The record is from RNAcentral.
GCACUCACUUUGGCAGCACAUAUACUAAAAUUGGAACAAUACAGAGAAGAUUGACAUGGCCCCUGCACAAGAAUGACACGCAAAUUCGUGAAGCAUUCCAUAUUUUU